GACGAACGCUGGCGGCGUGCUUAACACAUGCAAGUCGAACGGAAAGGCCCUGCUUUUGUGGGGUGCUCGAGUGGCGAACGGGUGAGUAACACGUGAGUAACCUGCCCUUGACUUUGGGAUAACUUCAGGAAACUGGGGCUAAUACCGGAUAGGAGCUCCUGCUGCAUGGUGGGGGUUGGAAAGUUUCGGCGGAUGGGGAUGGACUCGCGGCUUAUCAGCUUGUUGGUGGGGUAGUGGCUUACCAAGGCUUUGACGGGUGGCCGGCCUGAGAGGGUGACCGGCCACAUUGGGACUGCGGGACGGCCCAGACUCCUACGGGAGGCAGCAGGGGAGAAUAUUGCACAAUGGGCGGAAGCCUGAUGCAGCAACGCCGCGUGCGGGAUGCCGGCCUUCGGGUUGUAAACCGCUUUAGCCUGUGACGAAGCGUGAGUGACGGUAAUGGGUAAAGAAGCACCGGCUAACUACGUG
RNAcentral lists this ribosomal RNA (468 nucleotides) under uncultured bacterium. RNAcentral's name for it is "partial 16S ribosomal RNA". It matches the Rfam family "Bacterial small subunit ribosomal RNA", at positions 28 to 507 of the family's 1533-position model. The record is from RNAcentral.